Long non-coding RNA from Vigna unguiculata (cowpea), 3408 nucleotides. The record is from RefSeq and is a predicted model, not a curated record. NCBI's taxonomy places the organism in Eukaryota, Viridiplantae, Streptophyta, Magnoliopsida, Fabales, Fabaceae.
UUUCUCUCUCUACUCCAGUCACACCGCGUCACACUGAGUCAACUGAAAAUGGACUCAGUUUUUCUAGUUGAAGUGCCUAUUCCAUCCCUGUUCGGUGUUGUCACCACCGCUCUCCGCCACUGUUACGGCCACCGCAUACCUUCUCUCAUGCUAAUUUUCUGUACUUCCUCCACUCCACUUGAGAUCCUUGGCUCCCACGGUCAACAAAUGGAGUUUAUACCAAUGGUGACUAUGACCGGGAAAGAGGAUUUUGCAUGUCGUGAAUCCAGCUACACAUGUGGAUGCAGUGCCUACUGUGGUGAAAGAUGGAGUUCAACGGAAGAUAUUGAAACUUCUCCCUUCAUAGAAAUCGAGUAGAUCAGUCGAAGUGGACAUUCUCAUAUUGCUAGGUUAUUCUCCAUCAAUCCACAUGUUUGUAGACACUACAACAAAAUGAUCUUGCAGAGAGGAAGAAUAUAAACUGCACGCUGACAAAGGUUUAUCACUUGAGAGAUGUAGUCCUAACUGCUUAUUUUCCAAUAAUUACAAUGUUCUCUUUUUCGAAAACUAGGCAUGAAGCACUUGAUCAUCGUUUGUCAUCGUUUGUUUCAUCGAAAAAGAGGACAUUGUAAUUACUGGAAGAAAGAGGACCAUAGUCCUAACUGCUUCAUGUUCUCAAAACUAGGCAUGAAGCACUUGAUCAUCUUUUGGAUGGGGUCAAACCAUAAUUGAUGAAAUGCAAGUUCUUGCUAACAAUAACACACGAGAGUUUGUUCCUCUUCCUGGGGAAGAAAAAUGUUGGUUAUAGAUGGGUCUAAUGGUGAAAUUGGUCACCUUAAAGCUCAGUUGGUAGCCAAAGGAUAUACUCAUUUAUGGUAUUGACUAUGGUCAAGAUCAGUAUAAUUCCACUCUUCCUCGCUAUGCUGCUAUUUGCCAUUGCCCAUUUACCAACUUGACAUUUUAAAUGUUAUCCUUUAUGAUGUUAAGGAGGAACUAGGUCUGUUACUUAGGGAGAGUAUAAUUUAGUUUGUAAAUUGUGUUAAUCUCCUUGAACUAAAGCAAUUACUAUGAGUUUCGUUUGGUAAUUUUUGUCAUACUAAACAUUUUUUUUGGAUUCAGAUGAAGCGAGACAAAUCAUUCAGUUUUCUAUUAUAUUUUCUUUGUGAAGUGUGUUUAUCUAAUGAUCUAUGUUGAUGAUAUAGUUAUUAUAAAAAAUAAUAACACUUGAAUUUCUCAACUCAAAGAGUAUUUAUUUCAUCAUUUUAGACUUAAGACUUUGGCUAGCUAAAAUUCUUUCUUGGCAUUGGAAUGACUUGAUCAAAGAAAUAUAUUGUAGUUUCACAAAGAAAAUAUGUUCUUGAUAUCAUGGAGGAGACAUGGCUGGUAAAUUUUGAGCCCAUUGAUAGUCCGAUGAACCCAAAUCAAAGGCUAAUGGUUGACCAAGGUAAAAUCUUUUCACAUCCAUAGAGAUAUAGGAGGCUAGUGCGAAAAUUCAUUUAUCUCACUACUAUAACACUUGAUAUUUUUUAUAUAGUUGGAAUUGUUAGUCAAUUCAUGCAUAAUCCUCACAUUGACCACUGUAAUGUUGUGGCUCGUACUUUCAGGUAUGUCCAAAAGGCUUUAGGACAAGGGUUGUUAUAUGAGGGCAAGGAAUAUAUUCAAAUUUUUGGAUAUUGUGAUGCAGAUGGAGUUGGUUGACCCAUCGACAGAGAUCCUCCUAAGGAUAUUGUUUAUUUAUUCAAGGGAAUUUCAUCCCUUGGAAUAAGAAAUAAAUUGUUCUCCAAUCUAGUGUAGAAGCUAAAUAUAGAUCUGAGUUUGAUCACUUGUGAACUUGAGUGGAUUAAGUAACUUCAAGAGUUCAAAUUUUGUGAAGUUAAGCAGAUGAAUUUGUUAUGUGAUAAUUAGGUAACCCUUCAUAUUUCCUCCAAUUCACUCUUUAAUGAAAGAAUCAAAUAUAUAAAGAUCAAUUGUCAUUUUAUCAAGAAGAAACUACAUCGAAGGAAAUUAGUACUGGAUUUAUUAGCUCUAAUGGCUUGCAGACAUUGUAAUCAAGCCUUUGAGGGAGUCUAGAAUUCAAUUUAUUGGUUUCAAACUUGGUAUAUACAAUUAUAUGCUUAAGCUGGAGGGAAGUGUUAAAAUAGUUCAUUAUUAUGUUGUAAAACUUUUAGGAAGCUGCUUUUUGGGUGUACCUAGGCUAGGGGGUUGUGAAUCAGGUUGUAGGUAUUACUUAUUCUACACUCUUUUCAACUUUUCAGAUAUGGAAAAAAUACAUCAGCUGAGAAAUAAACUCACUGAUUUUACUCAUACCAUUCCUGCUUUAGUUCAUAUCAUAUUUAUGGACUUUGAUGUUAGUCCAUGCUGGUAAACAAGAGUAUUUGUUGGGACAUUUUAGGACUUCAAUUACUGAAGUUAAAUUUUUAGAACAGAUACUUUCUUACCAAGACCUAGAAGUUAAUGUAUAACAUUCGAAGCAAUUUCAAAUACAAAACAUGGAAAUUGCCAAUUCUAUCCCAUUCACUCCAAAAGUAAAUGAAUUAUCUGACAAAGUUUAUGCAACUGGCUACAUUCCAUGUUGUUCACAUAAUCAGGGUGAGACCCCUGAAAAAUAUUUAGCUAAAAUUCCUUAUACAAGUGAAAGAAAAGUUUGUGUAAGGAGAAAGAGUGGACACCUCUGUUUGUGCAUGUAUGUGUGACUUAUCUGUUUAUUAAGUUUUGAAGAUACAUUUAUUGUUCUACUUUUUUUCCCACACCCAUUUGUUUUUUUCCUUUACUGUUAGCCUACCUCUGAGAUGAGUUUGGAAUUCUAAAUAAAACUGAUGUUAGCUUGUUGAAGUAAUUACUGAGUAUGGAACAUGUCUAAUAAUUUCCCUUGUGAAACACUGUAAAUUAAUAAAGUCCCCAUCUUUCAUUGAUGAUCACAGCUGCACUAAACUGGAUAUGGAAAUCAUUAACUCCAAGUCUUGCAGACUUUGAACGAGGUUCAGAACCUUCUGAACAAGACCAACGGGGAAUUGAUUAUUGGCGGAAUUAAUGAGCAGCACACGUAUGGUUGUUCAGGAGACCUCCAAUCUGAAAAGGUCAUUGCUGCAAACAAAUUUUGGACGACUACAAGUACUGGUACCUGAUUUAUUUGAGUUGAAGGUUGGGAUCACCACAAUAGGAAGUGUAGUAAGGACAAUUCAAAUAAAACGUUCAAGCCAAAAAUGAAAGAAUGAGAAUGAACGGAGGUCCACAGUAGAUAGUUAAUUCUUGCAUGAGCAGUGCCUACAUAUGCAACCAGUAAAAAACUCAAUAGUAUUUAAAUAAUUGAGACCACAUUGAGUAGUAGUAUAGAGUUAUUGUCUAAAAUUAUGAGCACAUAUUGAUUUAGUUCUGAUAUUACAAAAAAAUUCAUUUGAGUAAAAAAAAUAAAGACUAAAAUGAUUGUCA